CCUACGGGUGGCAGCAGUGGGGAAUCUUGCACAAUGGGCGCAAGCCUGAUGCAGCCACGCCGCGUGGGUGAAGACGGCCUUCGGAUUGUAAAACCCUGUUGUUAGAGAAGAAAGUGCGUGAGAGUAACUGUUCACGUUUCGACGGUAUCUAACCAGAAAGCCACGGCUAACUACGUGCCAGCAGCCGCGGUAAUACGUAGGUGGCAAGCGUUAUCCGGAUUUAUUGGGCGUAAAGGGACCGCAGGCGGUUUUUUAAGUCUGAUGUGAAAGCCUUCGGCUUAACCGGAGUAGUGCAUUGGAGACUGGGAGACUUGAGUGCAGAAGAGGAGGGUGGAACUCCAGGUGUAGCGGUGAAAUGCGUAGAUAUAUGGAAGAACACCAGUGGCGAAGGCGGCUCUCUGGUCUGUAACUGACGCUGAGGUUCGAAAGCGUGGGUAGCAAACAGGAUUAGAUACCCGUGUAGUC
RNAcentral lists this ribosomal RNA (465 nucleotides) under uncultured bacterium. Its description in RNAcentral is "partial 16S ribosomal RNA". It matches the Rfam family "Bacterial small subunit ribosomal RNA", at positions 338 to 795 of the family's 1533-position model. The record is from RNAcentral.